Oncorhynchus tshawytscha (Chinook salmon) is the source of this 1413-nucleotide long non-coding RNA. NCBI's taxonomy places the organism in Eukaryota, Metazoa, Chordata, Actinopteri, Salmoniformes, Salmonidae. The record is from Ensembl.
GGGACUUUAACAAAAACAUGUUCUGAGUCAACAACAAACAAUUCCUUUAAGAUCCAUUUAUUAAAGUUAUUAAAAAAAAGAGACAAAUAAGUUAUAAUAUUUGUAUUUGUUAGAAUUCUAUCAGUGUUUGAACAUUAGUAUUUAGAGAGCUGGUACAACUUCUACUUUCAUGGCCAGCCUUUGACAAACCCAUAGAAACAGCUGGCUGAGUUCUCUCCCCUAUGAUAGAUAAUACUGAGUGGGACGAGUCAGUCAAUGCCGUCAGAGCCAGUUAGCGAUGAAAGUGUGCACCGUAGGAUUUUUCUCUGUUACGGUAUUAUUACAUAUAAACUCUUAAAAAUAUAUACUUCUGUCAAAUAACUUGACAACUAUGUACACUACAAAAAUACAUUUUCAUAUAAAUAAAUUAUAUGGCAUACAUUUAUCUUUGUAACUGAAACAAUAUAUAUCCUCGCCAACCAAGACCAAAUGGCAUCUGUAGAAAACCAUAGAUCUGUUUCUUUUCCUUUUAAAAUCCUCUAAGAGCUAUGGUGAGUCUUGUAGUGUAAAUGUUAUAUACUCUGGUUUCCCUACUUAACAUUAGUAAGCACUUUAUACAGAUUGAACACCAUUCAUGUCAAAACAAUAGUAAUAGUGUUUUUCAAUAGACAUAAAAAUCCCUGCAUUUGUUAUCCACUGACAUGUAUGACCAAUAAUGGAAGUAAACAAAACAAAAACAUCUCAUAAUACAAAAAUAUAAAUAUCGCAAAUUCAACGUUGAAAAACCAAACACAAACAAAACAUUACAAAAUGUAAGAAAAUAGUUGCCAGCCAUGAUUUCUCUCCAUUAUUGCCAAUGUGACAUCAGGAGGGAAAAAAAGAAGAUUUUCACUCAAGCAGCUGACACGCAAAAAGACACAUAGCUACACGUGUUAGACUGUGUGUAUGUGGGGAGGGGGGGGUCUGGAAAGACAUGACUGACACACAUAGCUACACGUGUUAGACUGUGUGUAUGUGGGGGGGGGGGGGGGUCUGGAAAGACAUGACUGACACACAUAGCUACACGUGUUAGACUGUGUGUAUGUGGGGAGGGGGGGGGUCUGGAAAGACAUGACUGACACACAGCUACACGUGUUAGACUGUGUGUAUGUGGGGGGGGGGGGGGUCUGGAAAGACAUGACUGACACACAUAGCUACACGUGUUAGACUGUGUGUAUGUGGGGGGGGGGGUCUGGAAAGACAUGACUGACACACAUAGCUACACGUGUUAGACUGUGUGUAUGUGGGGAGGGGGGGGUCUGGAAAGACAUGACUGACACACACAGCUACACGUGUUAGACUGUGUGUAUGUGGGGAUGAUGGGGGGGUCUGGAAAGACAUGACUGACACACAGCUACACGUGUUAGACUGUGUGCUAUGUGUGUGUAUGGGGGA